Molecule: non-coding RNA, 2198 nt
Organism: Ictidomys tridecemlineatus (thirteen-lined ground squirrel)
Lineage: Eukaryota; Metazoa; Chordata; Mammalia; Rodentia; Sciuridae
Source: RefSeq, a predicted model, not a curated record
AAUUAAGCCGUGGGGCACUGAAAUAGUGAGAGAUGAGAAAGGGGGAAAGAAACAAGUGAAGGAACUAGAAGGAAAACAGAAAACACAGUGUUUAGAAACUGAGAGAAAGAGUGUUCCAAGAAGGAGGAGAUGAUUGUGCCAGCUGCACUUAAGAGUGCUGGAUUUGCAAACUGCAGAUGGCAUAGGGGAAAGGAAGGUCUGACUGGAGCAGGUUCAAGAAAAAAUGGGAGGAGAGAAACUAGUGAGAACAAGAGCAGACAAUUCUUUUAUGGUUUUACUCUAAUGGAACAUAACAUGGGUCAGUAACUGGAGGGUGAUUUGGGGUAAAAGGAGUUGAGUGUGUUUUUGUUUUGUUUCGUUCUGUUUAGAAAAUGGUCAUCAGCUGACACAGGUGAUUGAAGUGACACCCUGUCCCAAGAGUAGCUGGCUACUUAGCGCCAAGAAACUGCUUCUCUCCUGGCAUGCAAACAUGGAGCUUCAGGAGCCAAAGCUCUAAAUGGCCUCAGACUCAGAAGUUGAACAGUGAAGCCACCAUCUCAGCCCAGUGCCCUCCAAAGUCUCUGGUGCCACUACACAGCUGCUUACAGCUUAAUGAACCACUGUUUAGUGUGCUGCUAAAUGAGGUUGCAAAGAAUGAACCAUCUCUAAUGGUAUCAGCUUUUUACAUGAGGAAAGGAGUUCUCAUCACUUACCAGACUUCACCUGAAGGACAGAACACCCCAGACCUUUGCAUUUGAGCGAACUGGCAACUCUUCAGGGAGCAGAUCUAUGACUUUGCAUGCUGAUCUAUUUUCUGCUCCAGUGGUCAUCAUUAAUAUUAAUGCCAAAUUGGAAGUCGAGACAUUGGGGUCCUCCGGCAGAAAGUCAGCACAAAAGUCUGACUGUGAAUUAGCCAGGAUGGAUGUGCCAGAGCUAGUGCAAAUCAUGAUGAAAACAAUACAUUGCUCAAGUGCUUUUUGAGAGCUCAGACAAAUAUUACCCAGACUUAGCCUAAAAGCAAUGAAAUCACUAGUCCUAUAAUGACAUUAGAUAUACUUAAAAUGAAAAGCUGAGAAAAUUAUUGUUUUUGUUUUUUUGUUUUGUCUAGAGAUGUAUCUAUACUUAAGGGGCUCCUUCUACCUAGAAACACUGAGGACAUAGAUCUAAGCCUCUUCAUUGAAAUUGCCCCAGAUGGGGAUGUAGCUCAGUGUUUAAGUAUGUGCUCAGCAGGUGUGAGGCCCUGGAUUCAAUCUCAAGCACUAAAAAUAAAUAAAUAGAUAAAUACUAUUUCUUUAUUUAUGUAACUAUUUCCCAAGAGAAUUUUGAGCUAACUCCUAAAGAGAUUGCUGAAUAUGCCAUAAUUCAUAUUAUUAUACCACCUGCCAUAAUAAUAGUAGCUAACCAUAGUGCUUACUAUAUGCCAAGUUCUCUAUACUAUUUUCCCAUAUUAAUCUAUUUUUAAACUCACAGCAACCUUAUGGGACAGGUGCUAUUAUUUUUCCUCUUUGAAAGAUCAGACACUGAGAGUUUAUGUAACUUGCCACAGUUACCCAGCUAGAGAACUACAGUCAGAAUUUUGACCCAGUUAGCACUAGAAAUUAUGCUUUUGAACAUACUACAUAUUUGAUAGAUAAUCUUUUAUUAUCCACUAACUAUUUGUGCUUAUUCCUAUCUUCCCAGACAGAUAUUUAAGGGUAAUCCCUGUCUCAUAUCUCAUUUUAUCUCUUUCCAUAAUUAGUUGCACAUGGUUAGUUCUUUAUGGUUUACUGAUCAUGUCUGCCUUAAAGUUGUCUUAAAUGCUCUCUGGGACUGAAGGUUGGGGAGAUAAAUAGAAACAAAUUUUUGAGGUUUUUUUUUUUGAACACCAAUAUUUCUGAAAAUCUGUAACUAGACCUUGUGAAUACUUUUAUCAUCAGUCUGGAAAAUCUUACUACUAGAAUGUAUGAAUUCUUAUAGCAAGGGCUAUAAGGUGAAUAUUUAUAGCAUACCAAUUUCCAAUAUGAUAUUUAAAGUGUUUUUCAUAGAGAAAACAAUUCCCCCCAAAAUAAUUCUCACAUGCAUUAAAUUCAAAGUUAUUCUUGAAGAAGGGUUGGGGAGAGUUGAGGAGCUCAGACAAAUAAGAAAUGUUGGUUGCAGUGCUAUCCUAAAAGAACUGUUUGCAACAUUUAGCUCUUUAGACUGUAUUAUUUCCAAUGUAUAAACACCUAUGAGGUCAGAAA